GAUGAACGCUGGCGGCGUGCCUAAUACAUGCAAGUCGAGCGAACAGACGCGGCGCUUGCUCCUCUGUCGUUAGCGGCGGACUGGUGAGUAACACGUGGAUAACCUACCUAUAAGACUGGGAUAACUUCGGGAAACCGGAGCUAAUCCCGGACAAUAUAUUGCACCGCAUGGUUCAUUAGUGAAAGCCGGUUUUGCUGACACUCAUAGAUGGAUCUACGCCGCAUUAGCUAGUUGGUAAGGUAACGGCCUACCAAGGCAACGAUGCGUAGCCGACCUGAGAGGCUGAUCGGCCACACUGGAACAGAGACACGGUCAUGACUCCUACGGGAGGCAGCAGUAGGGAAUCUUCCGCAAUGGGUCGAAGCAUGACGGAGCAACGCCGCGGGAGGGAUAAAGGUCUUCGGAUCGUCAGACACUGUUAUUAGCGAAGAAGAAAUGUGAAAGGACCGAUGCACGUGUUGACAGUACCUAAUCAGAAAGCCUCGGCUAACUCCGUG
This 497-nucleotide ribosomal RNA is filed under the name uncultured bacterium. Its description in RNAcentral is "partial 16S ribosomal RNA". It matches the Rfam family "Bacterial small subunit ribosomal RNA", at positions 28 to 507 of the family's 1533-position model. The record is from RNAcentral.